AUACGGAGGAUGCGAGCGUUAUCCGGAUUUAUUGGGUUUAAAGGGAGCGUAGGUGGGAUAUUAAGUCAGCUGUGAAAGUUUGGGGCUCAACCUUAAAAUUGCAGUUGAUACUGGUUUCCUUGAGUACGGUACAGGUGGGCGGAAUUCGAGGUGUAGCGGUGAAAUGCUUAGAUAUCACGAAGAACUCCGAUCGCGAAGGCAGCUCACCGGGCCGGAACUGACACUGAUGCUCGAAAGUGCGGGGAUCAAACAGGAUUAGAUGCCCUGGUAGUCCGCACAGUAAACGAUGAAUACUCGCUGUUUGCGAUACACGGUAAGCGGCCAAGCGAAAGCGUUAAGUAUUCCACCUGGGGAGUACGCCGGCAACGGUGAAACUCAAAGGAAUUGACGGGG
Molecule: ribosomal RNA, 393 nt
Filed under: uncultured bacterium
Lineage: Bacteria
Description: partial 16S ribosomal RNA
Rfam family: Bacterial small subunit ribosomal RNA
Source: RNAcentral